This 65-nucleotide transfer RNA is filed under the name Euproctus montanus. RNAcentral's name for it is "tRNA-Arg". Lineage: Eukaryota; Metazoa; Chordata; Amphibia; Caudata; Salamandridae. The record is from RNAcentral.
GUACUUAAUCUAAGUAAGAAUAAUGAUUUCGACUCAAUAAAUUUUGGUUAAAACCCAAAAGUACU